UAACGGAUAGAGUCGGCGUAUCUUCAAUUAUUCAKUUACAUUAUUUUUAUGUUGUGACCUCUGAGCUCCAGAUUGGGACAGAGGGAAUCAGCAUAAUUUUUUGUGGUGCAUUUACUUGAUUGGUGCUUGGGGAUGUUUGAGGCAGAUUUGUUUCCGUCGUUUUGAGGCCAGCUUGCUGGUACCCAAACGGUGUUAGCAUUUUUUGUCUUGGGCAUUUGAGUAUGGCUCACGUGUAUUUAUUGGACAGAUCUGAGUGUAAGUUACGGUCGCAUGCGACACGUGCUUUUCAAUUAGUUCGGUCCAGUUAAUGCUCUCGUACUCGUUCCCCAUGUAAAAGCCGGUCAUCUAUCCGACUCGUCUUGAAACACGGACCAAGGAGUUUAUCGUGUGCGCAAGUUUUUGGGUGUUAAAAACUUAAAAGCGAAAUGAAAGUAAAUGACUCUUUAGAGUCUGAUGUGCGAUCUUGUAAAAAAGUGUAGCAUGGCCCCAUUCUAACUGUUUACAGUAGGGUGGCGGAAGAGCGUACGCGGUAC
This 533-nucleotide ribosomal RNA is filed under the name Meloidogyne javanica (root-knot nematode). RNAcentral describes it as "partial large subunit ribosomal RNA". The record is from RNAcentral. Lineage: Eukaryota; Metazoa; Nematoda; Chromadorea; Rhabditida; Meloidogynidae.